RNAcentral lists this ribosomal RNA (441 nucleotides) under uncultured bacterium. RNAcentral describes it as "partial 16S ribosomal RNA". It matches the Rfam family "Bacterial small subunit ribosomal RNA", at positions 338 to 795 of the family's 1533-position model. The record is from RNAcentral.
CCUACGGGUGGCUGCAGUGGGGAAUCUUGCACAAUGGGGGAAACCCUGAUGCAGCAACGCCGCGUGAGUGAGGAAGUAUUUCGGUAUGUAAAGCUCUAUCAGCAGGGAAUAGCAAAGAAGGUACCUGCAAAAGAAGCCCCGGCUAACUACGUGCCAGCAGCCGCGGUAAUACGUAGGGGGCAAGCGUUAUCCGGAUUUAUUGGGUGUAAAGGGAGCGCAGACGGAUAGGCAAGUCUGAAGUGAAAGCCCAAGGCUCAACCAUGGGAGUGCUUUGGAAACUGUCAAACUAGAGUACAGGAGAGGGGAGAGGAAUUCCUUGUGUAGCGGUGAAAUGCGUAGAUAUAAGGAGGAACACCAGUGGCGAAGGCGUCUUACUGGUCCGAAACUGACGUUGAGGCUCGAAAGCGUGGGGAGCAAACAGGAUUAGAUACCCGAGUAGUC